This 255-nucleotide ribosomal RNA is filed under the name uncultured bacterium. RNAcentral describes it as "partial 16S ribosomal RNA". It matches the Rfam family "Bacterial small subunit ribosomal RNA", at positions 524 to 777 of the family's 1533-position model. The record is from RNAcentral.
UACGUAGGUGGCAAGCGUUGUCCGGAUUUACUGGGCGUAAAGAGCGCGCAGGCGGUCGUUUAAGUCGAAUGUGAGAGCCCCCGGCUCAACUGGGGAGGGACAUUCGAUACUGAUCGACUUGAAGGCAGGAGAGAGAAGUGGAAUUCCCGGUGUAGUGGUGAAAUGCGUAGAUAUCGGGAGGAACACCAGUGGCGAAGGCGACUUCUUGGCCUGUUCUUGACGCUGAGGCGCGAAAGCUGGGGGGAGCAAACGGGG